UGCCCUUCCUAGCUUCCCUCAAUCCCACUCUUCUUCUCUCCCCAGAGUCCAAAACCCCACUCCAAAGUCCAAACUUUGCACAGCAAUCUUCUCUUGCUGCUCUCUUCACCAUUCAUCAAGCAACCCCAUGUCAUCCCCACCAGUUUCCACUUCUAAGAAUGCACCUUUAACCGUUGAUUAUCCUACACCACUCUUCCCUUCCUUGCCACCCAUCUCAAAGCAGAUAGAGCUAAGCAGGGCCAUGGCCGGCU
RNAcentral lists this unclassified non-coding RNA (251 nucleotides) under Hevea brasiliensis (rubber tree). The record is from RNAcentral. Lineage: Eukaryota; Viridiplantae; Streptophyta; Magnoliopsida; Malpighiales; Euphorbiaceae.